UGACACAGGGAGGUAGUGACAAUAAAUAACAAUGCCGGGCCCUUUUGGGUCUGGCUUUUGGAAUGAGAGAAACACAGAAUCCACAUCGAGGAUCAAUUGGAGGGCAAGUCUGGUGCCAGCAGCCGCGGUAAUUCCAGCUCCAAUAGCGUAUAUUAAAGUUGUUGCGGUUAAAAAGCUCGUAGUUGGAUUUCUGCCGAGGACGACCGGUCCGCCCUCUGGGUGAGCAUCUGGCUCGGCCUGGGCAUCUUCUUGGAGAACGUAUCCGUACUUGACUGUAUGGUGCGGUAUCCAGGACUUUUACUUUGAGGAAAUUAGAGUGUUUCAAGCAGGCAUUUGCCUUGAAUACAUUAGCAUGGAAUAAUAAGAUAGGACCUCGGUUCUAUUUUGUUGGUUUGAGAACCAAGGUAAUGAUGAAUAGGGACAGUUGGGGGUAUUCGUAUUCAGUUGUCAGAGGUGAAAUUCUUAGAUUUACGGAAGACGAACUACUGCGAAAGCAUUUACCAAGGAUGUUUUCAUUAAUCAAGAACGAAAGUUAAGGGAUCGAAGAUGAUUAGAUACCAUCGUAGUCUUAACCAUAAACUAUGCCAACUAGGGAUCGGCAGUUGUUCACAUAACACUGUCGGCACCUUAUGAGAAAUCAAAGUCUUUGGGUUCCGGGGGGAGUAUGGUCGCAAGUCUGAAACUUAAAGAAAUUGACGGAAGGGCACCACCAGGAGUGGAGCCUG
This 725-nucleotide ribosomal RNA is filed under the name uncultured marine eukaryote. Its description in RNAcentral is "bacterial SSU rRNA". It matches the Rfam family "Eukaryotic small subunit ribosomal RNA", at positions 452 to 1185 of the family's 1831-position model. The record is from RNAcentral.